AUUGAACGCUGGCGGCAGGCCUAACACAUGCAAGUCGAACGGUAGCACAGAGAGCUUGCUCCCGGGUGACGAGUGGCGGACGGGUGAGUAACGUCUGGGAAACUGCCCGAUGGAGGGGGAUAACUACUGGAAACGGUAGCUAAUACCGCAUAACGUCGCAAGACCAAAGUGGGGGACCUUCGGGCCUCACACCAUCGGAUGUGCCCAGAUGGGAUUAGCUAGUAGGUGGGGUAAUGGCUCACCUAGGCGACGAUCCCUAGCUGGUCUGAGAGGAUGACCAGCCACACUGGAACUGAGACACGGUCCAGACUCCGACGGGAGGCAGCAGUGGGAAAUAUUGCACAAUGGGCGCAAGCCUGAUGCAGCCAUGCCGCGUGUAUGAAGAAGGCCUUCGGGUUGUAAAGUACUUUCAGCGGGGAGGAAGGCGGUGAAGUUAACAGCUUCACCGAUUGACGUUACCCGCAGAAGAAGCACCGACUAACUCCGUGCCAGCCGCCGCCGUAA
This 504-nucleotide ribosomal RNA is filed under the name uncultured bacterium. RNAcentral describes it as "partial 16S ribosomal RNA". It matches the Rfam family "Bacterial small subunit ribosomal RNA", at positions 29 to 523 of the family's 1533-position model. The record is from RNAcentral.